This 296-nucleotide ribosomal RNA is filed under the name uncultured bacterium. RNAcentral describes it as "partial 16S ribosomal RNA". It matches the Rfam family "Bacterial small subunit ribosomal RNA", at positions 29 to 334 of the family's 1533-position model. The record is from RNAcentral.
AACGAACGCUGGCGGCAGGCUUAACACAUGCAAGUUGAACGGUAUUGUUAGGUAGCUUGCUAUUUGACAAGAGAGUAGCGCACUGGUGAGUAACACGUGGGAACGUACAUUGUAGUGGGGAACAACAGAGGGAAACUUCUGCUAAUACCGCAUAAUCCCUGAGGGGGAAAGAUUUAUCGCUAUAAUAUCGGCCCGCGGAAGAUUAGGUAGUUGGUGGGGUAAAGGCCUACCAAGCCUACGAUCUAUAGCUGGUCUGAGAGGACGAUCAGCCACAUUGGAACUGAGACACGGUCCAG